RNAcentral lists this ribosomal RNA (666 nucleotides) under Triticum aestivum (bread wheat). RNAcentral describes it as "partial small subunit ribosomal RNA". Lineage: Eukaryota; Viridiplantae; Streptophyta; Magnoliopsida; Poales; Poaceae. The record is from RNAcentral.
AUGCAGCACCGAGACCCCUCGCGUGAGUGCUGCAUCGGAGCGCUCCAUUGCAGCUCAGUAGCCGACGACGAGCGCUCCAUUGCAGCUCCUCCGAGGCCAAUGAGCGCUCCAUUGCAGCUCCUCCUCCGCCGGCGACGAGCUCUCCACUGCUGCUCCUCCGCUGGUGUCGAGCGCUCCAUUGCAGCCCUUCUGCCGCCAGUGACGACUGCUCCAUUGCAGCUAGCUACUCCACGGGAGCGAGUGCUCCAUUGCAGCUCCUCCGCCGCCGGCUACGAGCGCUCCAUUGCGGCUCCUCCGCGGACGUCGAGCGCUCCAUUGCAGAUCCUCCGCGGGAGACGAGUGCUCCAUUGCCGCUCCUCUGCCACCGUCGACGACCGCUCCAUUACAGCUCCUCCACCACCGGCGAGGAGCGCUCCAUUACGGCUCCUCCGCCGUCAUGUGAGUGCUUCAUGGAAGCACGAGGCUUCAUUGCAACGCGGUGCGACGGCCGUGGACAAGUUGUUCUGUCACAUCUCGUGGCCGUGGACACAUAGCUGCGUUGCAACACCCGCGUCCGUCGACGAGCGUCGUUUCGCAUCGACAGCAACUCACGAUCCUGCACUGCUGUGGUGGUAUUCGCCAUGGCUCCACUCCAUGGACGCUGCUUUGCAGCUACUUCACCUCUAG